CUGAUUUCAAACAAAAGGAAAUUCAUAUUUAAUUAAGCAAAAGUAAUCCAAGGGAAAACAAGGAAGCUGGGGCAACAGGAAAAGUAACUGAGACACUUUCUGAAAGAAAGUCCUUCACGGUUCCGAAGCUCUUCCUAGGCUGUGACCUGAGCCCUUCCAACUUCAGUUUUCAGAAAAUAGAAAAUAACAUCAUUAUAAAAACAAGCAACAGACAAAAUGAAAAACCAUCAUCUGCUGCAGGCCCCAACGAGCAGCCUCUUACCUUCUCCGACUGUUGACAGCGAUGCAAACAGCAAGAAUCAAAGCCAGGGCCAAGAGAGAUGCCAAGAUGAUGAGCCAUUCUGGUGCAAGUGAAACAAAAGGCAUGUGUGAACAUCAGAAACAAACUUUGGAAAACAAAAAAUGCAACUGGAACAUCGGCCUUGGCUAAACAAGGACUACAGUCAGCACUGUAGAAAGGCUUGACCAAAGGGUCCAGCCAACCAGCGUCUCAUUCUAAAAGAGUGAUUUUGCUACAGGAGUUGGUUCAACAGAACUUUCAUACUAAUCUUUUAU
This is a long non-coding RNA of Fukomys damarensis (Damara mole-rat), 555 nucleotides long. RefSeq lists it as uncharacterized. The record is from RefSeq and is a predicted model, not a curated record. The transcript has 3 exons. Lineage: Eukaryota; Metazoa; Chordata; Mammalia; Rodentia; Bathyergidae.